GUGAGUUGCCGCCAACCGCCCUAACGGCCGAAACAAUGUUAAUGGCUUUCAGAGUCUGGCGGCGCGUUCCCAUUAUCAUCUUCCUGUGACCCUUCCUCAUUUUACACGGAGGAGGUGGUCUCCACAGUGAUUUUAAAUUUAAUAUUUCUCUCAUAACCUUUGUGAGAUAAAAGAAUCUUCAUCCUUUUAACUUUGACGAGGGAUGAAAUGAAGUUUUCCACAACAUUUGGGAAGAUUUACAAGGUAUACUCCAUUUAGGCAAAAAUAACUGUCAGGGAAUAGUCAUUGUCAAGAGCAGUUUGUAUUGCAACCCACAAAUUAUACCUCUAUGUCGGUCCAGAAAUCCUUCAAUUUACCAAGAGAUUAUGUUUGAAAAUCUUAGAAAAAAUAAACAAUCCUGAAAAACUAAGUAGACUCCUGGUGAUUACAGUCAGUGCCACACAGAUUAUCACUUAGUGGUUCCACCAUUAAAACACUCCUGGAAUGUAUUUAUUUGAGGAGUAGCAGGAAGAAGAAAGAGAAGGAAGCAGGCUAGGCGUGGUGGCUCAUGCCUGUAAUCUCAGCACUUUGGGAGGCCGAGGCAGGCAGAUCACGAAGUCAAGAGAUCAAGACCAUCCUGGCCAACAUGGUGAAACUCCAUCUCUGCUAAAAAUACAAAAAUUAGCCGGGCGUGGUGGCGCGCGCCUGUAAUCCCAGCUACUCAGGAGGCUGAGGCAGGAGAAUUGCUUGAACUCUGGAGGCGGAAGUUGCAUUGAGCCAAGAUUGCACCACUGCACUCCAGCCUGGGUGACAGAGCGAGACUCCAUCUCAAAAAAAAAAAAGAAAAAAAAGAGAAAAAAGAAAGAAAGAGAAGAAGCAGAGGAGAAGAGGGAAGAGGAGAAGAAACCAACUAUUCUAUAGAAACAAAAUGAAAUCUAAAAUUCUAUGCAAACUUUAAAAAAUAACUUA
Molecule: long non-coding RNA, 948 nt
Filed under: Homo sapiens (human)
Lineage: Eukaryota; Metazoa; Chordata; Mammalia; Primates; Hominidae
Description: HSALNT0294766
Source: RNAcentral